RNAcentral lists this long non-coding RNA (2201 nucleotides) under Podarcis lilfordi (Lilford's wall lizard). Lineage: Eukaryota; Metazoa; Chordata; Lepidosauria; Squamata; Lacertidae. The record is from RNAcentral.
GAGAGAUACUAAAUUACAGGUUUGUUGAACUCUGAAAAUAUAAGAACUGUUACAAUUGACUACUGGGAAACCUCAGGGGAAUUUUUGGCUGUAAGACAUUUUGUUUAGUUUUGGAAACUUUCUUCCCCUAGAGGGCACUUUGAGAAUUGUUGCAAAUUGGAUUGUAACUACUAAGGCAGUGGAAAUUUCCCUUGAAAAACAACUAACAGCUGUGAGAGUGACCUUGGCUAGGCAUGAGUGGUGCACCAGAAGAGACAACAACCAGGUCUGGGAGACAAUACAAAGUAAAAUCUUCACAGCGAAGAGUUUCAGUCCCAGGCAUCCCAGUGGCACCAGCUGCAACUGGUCAGACAAGAACAAUAAUGUCAUCAGAUCCUGUAACACAAGCUUUGGUUAAAAUAAAUGAGUCUUUGGAAUCUUUGACAAAGCAGGGGGUGGAAAAUAGCAGAAAAUUGACAGAACUCUCAAUUAAACUUGAUCAGAAUACACAAAGUGUGAAUGAAUUAGGGAAAAGGGUGACAUCUAAUACAGAAUCUAUUAAUAAAAUAUUAGAGGACUCUGCCAAUAUACGUAAAAUCGCAGAAGAAGCCAAAGUCUCUGCUGAUGAGGCUAAAGUCUCGGCGGAUGCUACACAGGAAAAAAAUUGUACCAGUUUGCAAAAAGUUAGAAGAUCACACAUUGGCCCUGUCUAUGCUUGAAUUGCAGAGAAGAGACAGAAAUUUAAGACUACGAGCGGUGCCUGAAAGCGAAGGAGAUAACUUGGCGAACUUCCUUUCCAAAGAAUUUGCGGAUUUUUGGCAACAGGAGUUAGAGAAAGAAGAAAUUAAAAUAGUCACUGCCUUUAGACUGGGAAGAGCACAAGGUAGGAAGAAGCCAAGGGAUUGCCUAAUAACAUUAGGAUCAAGAGAGGAGAGAGAUAAAAUAUUGAGCCUGCAUUUUCAAAGAACACUCGAGAUUGAAGAUUCUUUUGUGGAGAUUUUUAAAGAUAUUCCAAAGGAAAUUCUAGACGCAAGAACAAACUAUAAAGAACUGGUCGGAUUGCUGAAGAAGAACGAAGUACCUUUCAGGUGGGAAUUCCCGCAAGGCCUAUCUUUUAAAUUCAAAGGUAGGAAAAUAAGGAUAAGAUCAGUAGAAGAUCGAGAUCAAUUUCUAAAUCACUAUAGGGAAGACCUUCUGAAAGGAACAGUCGGAGAGGAAAUAACACCAGAAUCGAAAGACGCAACAGACAUUUUAAACUUGACGUUUGGACUGAAAUCACCAACAGAAGAAGAACAACUACUCGGAGCAACAGGAGGCAAAUAGCUUCAGGAUGGCCUUGCAACUUCUAAGUUGGAAUUGUAACGGACUUAACCUUCCGCGAAAGAGGAAAAAUAUAUUUCAUUUAUUGAAAAAGAGCAGUUGGACUUAAUUUGUUUACAGGAAACUCAUAUAACAAGAUUGCAUAGGAAACUACUCGUCAAUAAGAGAUUAGGCCAAGAAUUUAUUUCAUCGGAUAAAGUUAAGAAAAGAGGAGUGGUAAUCUAUGCAAAAGAAAAACUUUCCCCAAAGUUUAUAUUUAAAGAUGAACAAGGAAGGUAUUUGGCAAUUGAAGUGCAAAUUCAAGGUGAAAAAUUUUUGAUACUAGGGAUUUAUGCACCUAAUGAAGGGAAGUCAGAAUUUUUAAGAAGUUGCAUGAGACAUUGUUGGACUAUUUGGAUUACAAAUUAAUCAUGAUGGGAGACAUGAAUGGAGUGGUAUCUACAAAUAUGGACAAAGCACAAAGACAGGUAAUCACCAGAGAUGGGAGACUACCAAAGACUUUCUUUGAAAUAACUGAAAAUAUGGACUUGAUUGAUAUUUGGAGAACAAGGAAUCCUCUCGAGAGAGAGGGAACCUUUUCUCUGAAGCAAUGAUGACCUGGACCAGAAUCGAUCAAAUUUGGAUUACUAGUGGGUUGGCUCCAAAGAUUAAAAAAGUGGAAAUCUGCCCAAAGACCUGCUCCGACCAUAACGCCGUGAAGAUGGAAAUGAAACUUACAACAACUGGUCAAUUCAGAUGGAGGAUGAAUGACACCCUGUUUCGAGAUGAGGAGAUCCACAGAAAGGCCCAAAAAUUUUAAAGGACUACUUUGAAAUAAAUCUAAAAACUGAUGUAGAAAAAAGAGUGAUCUGGGACGCAAGUAAAGCAGUGAUGCGAGGAUUUCUAAUUCAACAAAAUUCUGU